GACGUAGGGCGCGAGCGUUGUCCGGAUUUAUUGGGCGUAAAGAGCUCGUAGGCGGCUUGUCGCGUCGUCCGUGAAAACCUGCGGCUCAACUGCAGGCUGGCGGUCGAUACGGGCAGGCUGGAGUUCGGUAGGGGAGACUGGAAUUCCCGGUGUAGUGGUGAAAUGCGUAGAGAUCGGGAGGAACACCCGUGGCGAAGGCGGCCGACUGGGCCGAUUCUGACGCUGAGGCGCGAAGGCGUGGGGAGCGAACGGG
This 253-nucleotide ribosomal RNA is filed under the name uncultured bacterium. Its description in RNAcentral is "partial 16S ribosomal RNA". It matches the Rfam family "Bacterial small subunit ribosomal RNA", at positions 524 to 776 of the family's 1533-position model. The record is from RNAcentral.